UUUAAAAAAAAACGUAUUAUAGUUUCACCCUUGGCUGGCGGGCGGCGUCCACAGCAGUGUCCGCUCUCUAAUUCAAAUAGUUUUCAUCCGAUCUUCACCAAACUUGGUCAGAAGUUGUGUCUAGACAAUAUCUAGGUCAAGUUCGAAUAUGGGUCAUACUGGGUCAAAAACUAGGUCACGGGGUCACUUAGUGCAUUUCAAGCAUUUAGCAUGGUGUCCGCUCUCUAAUUGAAGUAGUUUUCACCCAAUCUUCACCAAAUUUGGUCAGAAGUUGUGUCUAGAUGAUAUGAAGGUCAAGUUCAAAUAUGGGUCAUGCCGGGUCAAAAACUAGGUCACGAGGUCACUUAGUGCAUUUCAAGCAUUUAGCAUGGUGUCCGCUCUCUAAUUGAAGUAGUUUUCAUCUGAUCUUCACCAAAUUUGGUCAGAAGUUGUGUCUAGAUGAUAUGUAGGUCAAGUUCAAAUAUGGGUCAUGCCCGGUCAAAAACGAGGUCACGAGGUCACUUAGUGCAUUUCAAGCAUUUAGCAUGGUGUCCGCUCUCUAAUUGAAGUAGUUUUCAUCUGAUCUUCACCUAAUUUGGUCAGAAGUUGUGUCUAGAUGAUAUGUAGGCCAAGUUCGAAUAUGGGUCAUGCCGAGUCAAAAACGAGGUCACGAGGUUACUUAGUGCAUUUCAAGCAUUUAGCAUGGUGUCCGCUCUCUAAUUGAAGUAGUUUUUAUCUGAUCUUCACCUAAUUUGGUCAGAAGUUGUGUUUAGAUGAUAUGUAGGUCUAGUUCAAAUAUGGGUCAUGCAGGGUCAAAAACCAGGUCAUGAGGUCACUUAGUGCAUUUCAAGCAUUUAGAAUGGUGUCCACUCUCUAAUUGAAGUAGUUUUCAUCCGAUCUUCACCUACUUUGGUCAGAAGUUGUGUCUAGAUGAUAUGUAGGUGAUGUUCAAAUAUGGGUCAUGCCAGGUCAAAAACAAGGUCACGAGGUUACUUAGUGCAUUUCAAGCAUUUAGCAUGGUGUCCACUCUUUAAUUGAAGUAGUUUUUAUCCGAUCUACACUUAAUUUGGUCAGAAGUUGUGUCUAGAUGAUAUGUAGGUCAAGUUCAAAUAUGGGUCAUGCCAGGUCAAAAACGAGGUCAUGAGGUCACUUAGUGCAUUUCAAGCAUUUAGCAUGGUGUCCACUCUCUAAUUGAAGUAGUUUUCAUCCGAUCUUCACCUAAUUUGGUCAGAAGUUGUGUCUAGAUGAUAUGUAGGUCAAGUUCAAAUAUGGGUCAUGCCGGGUCAAAAAGGAGGUCAUGAGGUUACUGAGUGCAUUUCAAGCAUUUAGCAUGGUGUCCGCUCUCUAAUUGAAGUAGUUUUCAUCUGAUCUUCACCAAAUUCAGUCAGAUGUUACGUCUCAAUGAUAUCUAGGUCAAGUUCAAAUAUGGGUCAUGCCGGGUCAAAAACUAGGUCUCGAGGUCACUUAGUGCAUUUCAAGCAUUGAGCAUGGUGUCCAAAACCUUCAAACUGGCGUAUCUUGUGACAGUUUGGCACUCUUGUAUAGGUUAUUUUACUAUAAUUUCUUCAUUUCUACACUGAUUGUCUUCAAAUUGAUACCAAACCUCUCUUAUGACAAUACGGUCAAUCUCAACUAUGCAUGGCCCCAUUACCAACCCUGGGGCACCCCGCCCACAUAGGCCACGCCCACCCAAAAUUGCAGUUUUACUAUAAUUUCUUCAUUUCUACACCGAUUCACUUCAAAUUGAUACGGAACCUUUUUUAUGACAAUACGGUCAAUCUCAACUAUGCAGGACCCCAUUACCAACCCUGGGGCGCCACGCCCACCUAAAUUUGCCUUUUACUAUUAUUUCUUCAUUUCUACACCAAUUCACUUCAAAUCGAUACUUAACCUCUCUUAUGACAAUACGGUUAAUCUCAACUAUGCAUGGCCCCAUUACCAACUCUGGGACACCCCUCCCACAUAGGCCAUGCCCACCCAAAAUUGCCUUUUACUAUAAUUUCUUCAUUUCUACACCUAUUCCCUUCAAAUUUAUACUGAACCUCUUUUAUGACAAUACAGUCAAUCUCAACUAUGCAUGGCCCCAUUACCAACCCUGGGGCGCCCCGCCCACAUAGGCCACACCCACCCAAAAUUGCCUUUUACUAUAAUUUCUUCAUUUCUACACCGAUUUACUUCAAAUUGAUACUGAACCUCUCUUAUGACAAUACGGUCAAUCUCAACUAUGUAUGGCCCCAUUACCAACCCUGGGGCACCCCGCCCACAUAGGCC
Long non-coding RNA from Dreissena polymorpha, 2250 nucleotides. RefSeq lists it as uncharacterized. The record is from RefSeq and is a predicted model, not a curated record. NCBI's taxonomy places the organism in Eukaryota, Metazoa, Mollusca, Bivalvia, Myida, Dreissenidae. The transcript has 2 exons.